CAUACCACUACCGCUUGUUUUCUUCUGCCCGCCCCACCAGCCGGCCUACCGACCGCUUAUGUCUGCUCAUGUGAAGACCGGCAAAGUGCUUUUCUUCUAUCACACUUGCCACUCCAGCCAGCCAUAAACUUGAACUCCAGCCAGCUUGCCAGCUUUGAUCCGGAUCACGGCGCGGAAUGAUGCUCUGCUCUGCUCGGCUCUGCUGCUGCGAAGGCAACGCGCUUCAAGCCAACAACGCGAAAGCUGCAUCUGCAUCAGGGCCUUGAAACACUCGGUAGCUGGAGCUGAGCUGAGCUGUUGGGGCCUGGCCUGGCCUCGGCUAGGAGUUUAUCGUUUAUCAUGCGAUGCGUUUCUCUCUGAAAGAGGAGGCAAUGCGCUGUGCAAAAGGGUUACCAUUCCAACCAACGGCGGGUGCACCGGAUACUUCUGAUACUUGAUUCCAACCGAUGUUUUCGCAUCGGCCGCACAGUGGAACGCACGAAACCGUAAAGCACAUGACACUCGUUCAAAAUAAUUACCUUUACAAUUUAAUUAAAUUGAAACAGACGAGGAGGAAUCGGUAUUCCAAAUGCAGCAGCUCGACUCGAAUCGUAGCUCGCCUCAUUUUCCACUUUGCACGAUUUAAUGUGGUUAUCUCACUUGCAAACGUUUUCAGUGCCCCAAUCAAUCAUUAUCGAGUCGGGGCCGGUGGUGCUUUCAGAGAUACGCCGCCGCCGCCGAGAGUGCGGGUUCCAUAAAUGAUGGUGGGACCCAGAAUUAACACCGGUCCAGUUUCAUUCAAAUCAAACCGACUAGCUAGAAAGAAGUACAAAAUCCGUACUGCCUGUAUAUCGAUGGAAUGAGAAAACCUUUCCGCAUUCUGUCAACCGGUGUAAUGCUUUUGUUACCCCAGCAGCAGUGCCGCGUCGUCCUUAGGUUACGCUAACGGUUUCGCACACUACUAAGACGCUCCAAAACCUUCAGUCAACAAAUGGUCUCCCUCUUGGCCUCACCCAACAGUAUAAUAAUUUUAAUUUUUGCAUCCAAAACAUACAAAAUAUAUCUACAAAAAUACCUUAAUCAACAACCAAAAUACUCCAAAACUUAGCUUUCUAAUAUCUGAAGAAAAUCAGAAAAAUCCAUUAUUUUUCGACCUUCAAGAAUAGAUUCGCCCUUAAGAGAUUAGGUUUUCAGAAUUGAAAUCUGAGAUAACAAAUUUUAGAACUAAAGUUAUGGAAUAUAGAUUUGAGCAUAGCAUUUAAAGUAUGUAAUAUAAAGCUAUAGAAUAGAGAAUUAGGAUUAGCCGGACCUUGGACAUUCUAAGAUUUUCUAAAUUGGGACAAUGGGUUUAACUCAAACGAAUCGAAUGGUUUCUUAGCUCCAACGUCCAGGUUUAGGAUCUUAUUCACGAUUAAAAAUAUGGAUUAAAGCAUAUCCUUUUGCCAAAGAGUUCCACAACUGGAGCCAAUUAAAAUGCACAAGCACGCAAGUGUGCAGAGUUGUCGAUCAUGGUCACGCUAACGCUGGUAGCCAUUUUUAGUACCACUUCGUUAAAGUGCGAUAAAAUUUGCCUCCGAACCACCGCACCCCGAGGAAGUAAAUUUCAUCGGCAGAGAUUCAAAGUCGCCAAUUAAAAACUUCAUUCCAACGAAAUGAUAACAAUUCGCGCAGAUCCGAGAAUGCAAAUUGCUUUCGCAGUAAAAGUCUGCCAUCAAUUUAAUCACCGCAAAAAGCAUUCCCCGCUUCACGUUUGGCUAGAUCAACAAAGCGGGCCGGCGACCAAGUACUCCGGCUUUGGAGGAGAAUUCUAAAAUCCAUCGAGUGCCGCAGUUCGCGUGGAAGGUUUUCAGCAUUUUCACGCAGUAGUGGGGUGGUGGGUAGACGACAGAUCCUACACAGUGGAUGGAAUGAUCUCAAUCAGGGCGAAUUUGAAUAUAUGCUGAAAUUUUCUAAACAGAUAGUAUAAAGUUUAUAUGUUGUACAAGAAUAACUCAAUAAAGAGUGAUCAAAUUAAUAUUACCUUUAAUGCACAUAACAAAGCUGCCCUGUACUCUAAUAGCUAACUAUAAAAUCUAUUGAAUAAAAACAGAACGCCAAGUUCCG
Molecule: long non-coding RNA, 2082 nt
Organism: Sabethes cyaneus
Lineage: Eukaryota; Metazoa; Arthropoda; Insecta; Diptera; Culicidae
Exons: 4
Source: RefSeq, a predicted model, not a curated record